Molecule: ribosomal RNA, 497 nt
Filed under: uncultured bacterium
Lineage: Bacteria
Description: partial 16S ribosomal RNA
Rfam family: Bacterial small subunit ribosomal RNA
Source: RNAcentral
GACGAACGCUGGCGGCGUGCCUAAUACAUGCAAGUUGAGCGCUGAAGGUUGGUACUUGUACCAACUGGAUGAGCAGCGAACGGGUGAGUAACGCGUGGGGAAUCUGCCUUUGAGCGGGGGACAACAUUUGGAAACGAAUGCUAAUACCGCAUAAAAACUUUAAACACAAGUUUUAAGUUUGAUAGAUGCAAUUGCAUCACUCAAAGAUGAUCCCGCGUUGUAUUAGCUAGUUGGUGAGGUAAAGGCUCACCAAGGCGAUGAUACAUAGCCGACCUGAGAGGGUGAUCGGCCACAUUGGGACUGAGACACGGCCCAAACUCCUACGGGAGGCAGCAGUAGGGAAUCUUCGGCAAUGGACGAAAGUCUGACCGAGCAACGCCGCGUGAGUGAAGAAGGUUUUGGGAUCGUAAAACUCUGUUGGUAGAGAAGAACGUUGGUGAGAGUGGAAAGCUCAUCAAGUGACGGUAACUACCCAGAAAGGGACGGCUAACUACGUG